AGCAGCCGCGGUAAUUCCAGCUCCAAUAGCGUAUAUUAAAGUUGUUGCAGUUAAAAAGCUCGUAGUUGAAUUUCGGGGUUAGUAGGUUGGUCAUGCCUCUGGUAUGUACUGGUCUCACUGAUUCCUCCUUCCUGAUGAACCGUAAUGCCAUUAAUUUGGUGUUGCGGGGAAUUUGGACUGUUACUUUGAAAAAUUAGAGUGUUUAAAGCAAGCUAACGCUUGAAUACAUUAGCAUGGAAUAAUGAAAUAGGACGUUCGAUCUUAUUUUGUUGGUUUCUAGGAUUGACGUAAUGAUUAAUAGGGAUAGUUGGGGGCAUUAGUAUUCAAUUGUCAGAGGUGAAAUUCUUGGAUUUAUUGAAGACUAACUACUGCGAAAGCAUUUGCCAAGGAUGUUUUCAUUAAUCAAGAACGAAAGUUAGGGGAUCGAAGACGAUCAGAUACCGUCGUAGUCUUAACCAUAAACUAUGCCGACUAGGGAUCGGAUGAUGUUAAUUUUUAAUGACUCAUUCGGCGCCU
This 516-nucleotide small RNA is filed under the name uncultured Glomus. Its description in RNAcentral is "SSU rRNA". It matches the Rfam family "Eukaryotic small subunit ribosomal RNA", at positions 569 to 1088 of the family's 1831-position model. Lineage: Eukaryota; Fungi; Glomeromycota; Glomeromycetes; Glomerales; Glomeraceae. The record is from RNAcentral.